Molecule: long non-coding RNA, 1185 nt
Filed under: Numida meleagris (helmeted guineafowl)
Lineage: Eukaryota; Metazoa; Chordata; Aves; Galliformes; Numididae
Description: lncRNA (ENSNMEG00000008300.1)
Source: RNAcentral
AGGCCCUCUAACAAGUGGUAACUAGAAACUAGUCAGCAGACGACUUUUUUGUUAAAAAAUUCUGGAGCAAACAUGGGACCUGCUCUACUCGGCACGCCAACUUUUGGCCGGAUAGCACCUGCCAGUGGAACCCCACGACCACCAAAGACCCCUUGCAAGAACCCCACAUUACCACUGUUCAUGCAGAGUAUUAGAUUUUAGUACGUUCAGCAAUUCUCGGAGCAGGUGGGCACUUUCCGGAAACUGUAUGGAUAUGCACGCACGCUGAAUGUCUGUAAUCUGUGUGCUUUAGUUGCUGGGUAUGCACGUGAGGUGGAGCAAUCCCCCAUGCAUCCGGGGCCCUUAAGAAAGAACACCAGCUGCUGAAUACCACUGGAUGAAGUUACUGCAUCCUUGGAGAUCAGCCAUCAUCAGCUUUCAGCCAGAAUGGCAGCUUUUGCAGAAGUAGUCAUGGAACUCCACAAGAGGUGAAGAGGGAAAUAUGAAAACGAAGGUUUUUUUUGCAUUUGAAACAUCCCUAGUCUCUCUCUUCAGACAGAAGAAAUGAUUCCAUCACAUCACAUCCUCUUUCACUAGAGCUCACUUCUGUGAGCUCCAUGAGCUGGCAUGUUAGUGGCAAUCUCAAAUCCUAGAGGAGGGUAACAGGAAGGUGUGAACGGAAAAUGGCAGCAAGUCAUCGACACCCAGCUGGAGAUCACCAAGUGAAGACCGGGCACCUCCCCAAGUUGCAGUACUGCACCUGUCUGAAAUCCAGGUCUGGCCAAGCAUAGAAACCACUUGCAUCUGUUUGACCUGCACCUGUCUGUCAAGAAGAUUCAGAAAAAUGGAACACUAUUCUCUCUCAGGAAAGCUGAAGACAAAGCAGCAGAUAGAUGCCUGUGAGCAUCCCACAUUGGAGAAAACCUCGCUUCCUCCUGCCUCUGCAAAAUCCUGUUGCUGCUGUCAGAAGAGUGAAGACAAAGUAAAAAUAGGGAAAAAAUGAUCAGAGAUACUGCCAACUGUUACAGCUUUCUGGAUUAUAUCACUGCGAGUCAAAAAUACCUUGCAGACGUCCAGUCCUUUUGUCUCCUUUCCCAAGUCUGUCAGCAUUUUUAACAAAUCUGCCCUGAAUUAAACCUGAGAGUGCUCUUCUAUAUUGUUUACCAUUAAGCUUUUCUCCAUAUCUCUGCUUCUACUUCAUAUUCU